CCUACGGGAGGCAGCAGUGGGGGAUCUUGCACAAUGGGGGAAACCCUGAUGCAGCGACGCCGCGUGAGUGAAGAAGUAUUUCGGUAUGUAAAGCUCUAUCAGCAGGGAAGAAAAUGACAGUACCUGACCAAGAAGCCCCGGCUAACUACGUGCCUGCAGCCGCGGUAAUACGUAGGGGGCAAGCGGUAUCCGGAUUUACUGGGGGUAAGGGGAGCGUAGACGGUUAUGUAAGUCUGGAGUGAAUACCCGGGGCCCAACCCCGGUACUGAUUUGGAAACUGUGUAACUGGAGUGCAGGAGGGGCAGGCGGAAUUCCUGGUGUAGCGGUGAAAUGCGUAGAUAUCAGGAGGAACACCGGCGGAGAAGGCGGCCUGCUGGACUGAAACUGACGUUGAGGCUCGAAAGCGUGGGGAGCAAACAGGAUUAGAUACCCUUGUAGUC
This 440-nucleotide ribosomal RNA is filed under the name uncultured bacterium. RNAcentral's name for it is "partial 16S ribosomal RNA". It matches the Rfam family "Bacterial small subunit ribosomal RNA", at positions 338 to 795 of the family's 1533-position model. The record is from RNAcentral.